This 446-nucleotide ribosomal RNA is filed under the name uncultured bacterium. Its description in RNAcentral is "partial 16S ribosomal RNA". It matches the Rfam family "Bacterial small subunit ribosomal RNA", at positions 338 to 795 of the family's 1533-position model. The record is from RNAcentral.
CCUACGGGAGGCAGCAGUCGAGAAUCAUGCACAAUGGGGGAAACCCUGAUGGGGCGACGCCGCGUGGGGGAAUGAAGGUCUGCGGAUUGUAAACCCCUGUCAUGUGGGAGCAAAUUAAAAAGAUAGUACCACAAGAGGAAGAGACGGCUAACACGGGGCCAGCAGCCGCGGUAAUACAGAGGUCUCAAGCGUUGUUCGGAAUUACUGGGCGUAAAGCGUGCGUAGGCGGUUUCGUAAGUCGUGUGUGAAAGGCGCGGGCUCAACCCGCGGACGGCACAUGAUACUGCGAGACUAGAGUAAUGGAGAGGGAGGCGGAAUUCUCGGUGUAGCAGUGAAAUGCGUAGAUAUCGAGAAGAACACUCGUGGCGAAGGCGGGUUCCUGGACAUUAACUGACGCUGAGGCACGAAAGCCAGGGGAGCGAAAAGGAUUAGAUACCCUGGUAGUC